Molecule: ribosomal RNA, 253 nt
Filed under: uncultured bacterium
Lineage: Bacteria
Description: partial 16S ribosomal RNA
Rfam family: Bacterial small subunit ribosomal RNA
Source: RNAcentral
UACGUAGGGGGCUAGCGUUGUCCGGAAUCAUUGGGCGUAAAGAGCGUGUAGGCGGCCCGGUAAGUCCGCUGUGAAAGUCGGGGGCUCAACCCUCGAAUGCCGGUGGAUACUGUCGGGCUAGAGUGCGGAAGAGGCGAGUGGAAUUCCUGGUGUAGCGGUGAAAUGCGUAGAUAUCGAGAGGAACACCUGCGGCGAAGGCGGGUUGCUGGGCUGACACUGACGCUGAAGCGCGAAAGCUAGGGGAGCGAACGGG